GACGAACGCUGGCGGCGUGCUUAACACAUGCAAGUCGAACGGUGAAGCGCCUUCCUUUUUGGUGGGUGUGGAUGAGUGGCGAACGGGUGAGUAACACGUGAGUAACCUGCCCCCUUCUUCUGGAUAACCGCAUGAAAGUGUGGCUAAUACGGGAUAUUCUGGGUCUGUCGCAUGAUGGGUCUGGGAAAGAUAUUGUUUCGGUGGGGGAUGGGCUCGCGGCCUAUCAGCUUGUUGGUGGGGUGAUGGCCUACCAAGGCGGUGACGGGCAGCCGGCCUGAGAGGGUGGACGGUCACACUGGGACUGAGACACGGCCCAGACUCCUACGGGAGGCAGCAGUGGGGAAUAUUGCACAAUGGGCGCAAGCCUGAUGCAGCGACGCCGCGUGAGGGAUGGAGGCCUUCGGGUUGUGAACCUCUUUCGCCAGUGAAGCAGGCCUGCCUCGUUUGUGGGUGGGUUGACGGUAGCUGGAUAAGAAGCGCCGGCUAACUACGUG
Molecule: ribosomal RNA, 494 nt
Filed under: uncultured bacterium
Lineage: Bacteria
Description: partial 16S ribosomal RNA
Rfam family: Bacterial small subunit ribosomal RNA
Source: RNAcentral